GACGAACCGUGCGAACGUUGUUCGGAAUCACUGGGCUUAAAGGGCGCGUAGGCGGGCUGACAAGUCUGGGGUGAAAUGCCGCGGCUCAACCGUGGAACUGCCUCAGAUACUGUCGGCCUCGAGGAAGGUAGGGGCAUGCGGAACUGUAGGUGGAGCGGUGAAAUGCGUUGAUAUCUACAGGAACUCCGGUGGCGAAAGCGGCGUGCUGGACCUUUUCUGACGCUGAGGCGCGAAAGCUAGGGGAGCA
Molecule: ribosomal RNA, 247 nt
Filed under: uncultured bacterium
Lineage: Bacteria
Description: partial 16S ribosomal RNA
Rfam family: Bacterial small subunit ribosomal RNA
Source: RNAcentral